GACGAACGCUGGCGGCGUGCCUAAUACAUGCAAGUCGAGCGGACUUUCAAGAAGCUUGCUUUUUGAAAGUUAGCGGCGGACGGGUGAGUAACACGUGGGCAACCUGCCUGCAAGACGGGGAUAACUCCGGGAAACCGGGGCUAAUACCGGAUAAUAUCUUCCUUCGCAUGAAGGAAGGUUGAAAGGCGGCGCACGCUGCCGCUUGCAGAUGGGCCCGCGGCGCAUUAGCUAGUUGGUGCGGUAACGGCUCACCAAGGCGACGAUGCGUAGCCGACCUGAGAGGGGGAUCGGCCACACUGGGACUGGGACACGGCCCAGACUCCUACGGGAGGCAGCAGUAGGGAAUCUUCCGCAAUGGACGAAAGUCUGACGGAGCAACGCCGCGUGAGCGAAGAAGGUCUUCGGAUCGUAAAGCUCUGUUGUCAGGGAAGAACAAGUACCGUUCGAACAGGGCGGUACCUUGACGUUACCUGACCAGAAAGCCACGGCUAACUACGUG
Molecule: ribosomal RNA, 499 nt
Filed under: uncultured bacterium
Lineage: Bacteria
Description: partial 16S ribosomal RNA
Rfam family: Bacterial small subunit ribosomal RNA
Source: RNAcentral